This 30-nucleotide ribosomal RNA is filed under the name Brinjal little leaf phytoplasma. RNAcentral's name for it is "partial 23S ribosomal RNA". Lineage: Bacteria; Bacillati; Mycoplasmatota; Mollicutes; Acholeplasmatales; Acholeplasmataceae. The record is from RNAcentral.
UGCCUUGGCACUAAGAGCCGAUGAAGGACG